Molecule: small nuclear RNA, 135 nt
Organism: Heterocephalus glaber (naked mole-rat)
Lineage: Eukaryota; Metazoa; Chordata; Mammalia; Rodentia; Bathyergidae
Source: Ensembl
GUGUUUUAUGAAAGGAGAGAUUAACACACACACACACACACAACCCCGACAGGGAUGGAAGAGGCCCUCAGCCUGACAAUGCACAUAUGAUUAAGGCGUUGCCACCUGCUUCAUGGCAUCUAACCAAUGUUUUUA